GAUCGCUAGUGAUGCGGGUGGUUCGCCGCCCGUGACUCUGCGAGAAGUCCAUUGAACCUUAUCAUUUAGAGGAAGGAGAAGUCGUAACAAGGUUUCCGUAGGUGAACCUGCGGAAGGAUCAUUGUCGAGAUUGAAAUACAUCGAGUGAUUUAGAGAAUUUGUCAAAAUAAGCGGUCGUUAUUAUAUCCGCUAUAAAAUUCAUCCCAUUCAUCACCUCAUCCCUUUGAGGCAAGGUUGUGAAUGGGAGUGAUUAAACACUCAAACCGGCGUAACAUCGCGCCAAGGUAUAUAACCAAAAUUGAGACCUUGAAUGGGUUUUGUGGCAUGACUCUCGGCAAUGGAUAUCUCGGCUCUCACAUCGAUGAAGAGCGCAGCGAAAUGCGAUACGUGGUGCGAAUUGCAGAAUCCCGCGAACCAUCGAGUCUUUGAACGCAAGUUGCGCCUGAGGCCAAACAGCCAAGGGCACGUUUGCCUGGGCGUCAAGCAUUGUGUCACUCCGAGUCAAUACCAUCCCAUCGAUGGAUGUGCUGGCAAAGGCUUGGAUGUGCAGGCUGGCUCAUCGUUCCCAUUAGAGCGGUGUGCUGAAGAGUUAGUCAUCAUCUCAUUGGCUGCGAAUAGUAAGGGGUGGGUUUAAAACGAGUCCUAUUAUUAUCUCGUGUAUGCUUGAGGAAAGAUUAUAUAUUUUCAAGUUAUCCAAAAUUAUGCGCCGAUUCAUGGAUGACAUUUUGAAUGCGACCCCAGGAUGGGCGGGGCCACCCGCUGAGUUUAAGCAUAUCAAUAAGCGGAGGAGAAGAAACUUACGAGGAUUCCCCGUUUAAGCAUAUCAAUAAGCGGAGGAGAAGAAACUUACGAGGAUUCCCC
Molecule: ribosomal RNA, 861 nt
Filed under: Dendrobium violaceum
Lineage: Eukaryota; Viridiplantae; Streptophyta; Magnoliopsida; Asparagales; Orchidaceae
Description: eukaryotic LSU rRNA
Rfam family: 5.8S ribosomal RNA (bases 327-482)
Source: RNAcentral